Molecule: ribosomal RNA, 467 nt
Filed under: uncultured bacterium
Lineage: Bacteria
Description: partial 16S ribosomal RNA
Rfam family: Bacterial small subunit ribosomal RNA
Source: RNAcentral
GACGAACGCUGGCGGCGUGCUUAACACAUGCAAGUCGAACGGAAAGGCCCUGCUUUUGUGGGGUGCUCGAGUGGCGAACGGGUGAGUAACACGUGAGUAACCUGCCCUUGACUUUGGGAUAACUUCAGGAAACUGGGGCUAAUACCGGAUAGGAGCUCCUGCUGCAUGGUGGGGGUUGGAAAGUUUCGGCGGUUGGGGAUGGACUCGCGGCUUAUCAGCUUGUUGGUGGGGUAGUGGCUUACCAAGGCUUUGACGGGUAGCCGGCCUGAGAGGGUGACCGGCAACAUUGGGACGGAGAUACGGCCCAGACUCCUACGGGAGGCAGAAGUGGGAAUAUUGCACAAUGGGCGGAAGCCUGAUGCAGCAACGCCGCGUGCGGGAUGACGGCCUUCGGGUUGUAAACCGCUUUCGCCUGUGACGAAGCGUGAGUGACGGUAAUGGGUAAAGAAGCACCGGCUAACUACGUG